This 421-nucleotide long non-coding RNA is filed under the name Manihot esculenta (cassava). RNAcentral describes it as "long non-coding RNA (MESC_LNC011541)". The record is from RNAcentral. Lineage: Eukaryota; Viridiplantae; Streptophyta; Magnoliopsida; Malpighiales; Euphorbiaceae.
GAGUUUUAACUGUAACUCAUAAAAAUACUGAAGCAACAAAUAUGAAAAUAUUCUCAAACAACAAAAAUAGAAUCACAAAUAAAAUAAAAAAGAUUCCAUAAAAUCAGUAGCUAAUAAUUGACCAACAGACUUAGUCAACCAGCAUUUUCUUCUUCAAUCCGUGAGUGUAUCUCUUGUAGACCAACUGCUGCUGGUUGCUAUCACAUUCCUCCUCCCAUGCCUCGCUCCCUGUUCUUCUGGUUAUUCCGGCAGAGUAAAUAUCGGCCUCGUCGUUCUCUAUCAGCUCUCUCACCCUCCUUCCGUGAACUCGGGCCUCCGGUUCUUCCUCUCCCCCACUUCUUUGCCCCCUUUCUCUGGUUUCUCUACUGACGGUUUGAGGGUGAUUGAAGGUAGGUUGAGGUUCAUUGGUCCGGGGUUCUUC